CUGGGAGAAUCCUGGGCCCUCUUCAUCGAAGAUCCUCACAAAGAAGUUGACUCUAUCACUUGCCCUGGUUCUUUAACACACCGGCGGUGAAGCCACAGCCAACCCGCCUAAAGAAACUUGAAAGCGAACGAGUGAGUCAGAAGGAAGGCGACCUGCUCUGCUGGCUCCGCGGGGAUUGACCACCUGGACACCUGGUACCACUAGCGCUGGUGGGGAAAAAAGGACACCUUAGGAGCCCACCGGGCACGUGCUGGGCAAACAUUUACAGAUUGCGUGAGCGGGAGAUGAGGAAGGAGCCUGCCUGCGGCCACCCAGAGGGCCGGAGUUUACCCUCGUCCUCCGAAGGAGACUAGGACAGAGCUGCCGCCUGGGGCAGAGGGUGACAGUCUCCAAGAGGCCUGGGCGUCCCCUUCCCAGGCGGAGAAGGUUGUGACGCCAGUGGACCAGUACGACCACCGUUAGAGCUAUUAAAAAAAAAAAAUCAUGGGGGAGGCCAAGGAACUACCUGUCCUCGCCCCCACAAGGAAAACUGGCUAGGUUUUGGGGCCAAGCGGGCAGCACCGGUUGCUGGAUUGCUGCCCCUCUCCAGAGCAGAUACCCCAAAACUUUUUGCAUCACUGACAGGGGAAUAUUACUCGGUGCUCUUCCGGAAGGUUAAGACCAUUGUAAGAGUUCCUCCAAACUCACCUUUUAAGAUGUUCUUAAUGAGACUUCCGCCUUUCUGAAAGGACAACUUUUAAACUUGCUAACUCCUUUGACAUCCAACCAUUUCCCUCCUCUCUCGAACCCCUGACUUUCCAGGUUUUUGGCGGCUCUAGUGUUGGGGUUCGAACCAGGCUUGGACAGUUCUCCCAGUGGGAAUGUAAGGUCUGGCUUGGCAGGGGUGCAGGGCAGGCUCUGAAAGGCUAGCCCUCGCAGCUCAGAGCAGUUUUAGUGGUCAAGGAGGG
This is a long non-coding RNA of Jaculus jaculus (lesser Egyptian jerboa), 947 nucleotides long. RefSeq lists it as uncharacterized. The record is from RefSeq and is a predicted model, not a curated record. NCBI's taxonomy places the organism in Eukaryota, Metazoa, Chordata, Mammalia, Rodentia, Dipodidae. The transcript is spliced from 3 exons.